RNAcentral lists this ribosomal RNA (460 nucleotides) under uncultured bacterium. RNAcentral describes it as "partial 16S ribosomal RNA". It matches the Rfam family "Bacterial small subunit ribosomal RNA", at positions 338 to 795 of the family's 1533-position model. The record is from RNAcentral.
CCUACGGGUGGCAGCAGUGAGGAAUAUUGGUCAAUGGACGAGAGUCUGAACCAGCCAAGUAGCGUGAAGGAUGACUGCCCUAUGGGUUGUAAACUUCUUUUAUAUGGGAAUAAAACGUUCCACGUGUGGGAUUUUGUAUGUACCAUAUGAAUAAGGAACGGCUAACUCCGUGCCAGCAGCCGCGGUAAUACGGAGGAACCGAGCGUUAUCCGGAUUUAUUGGGUUUAAAGGGAGCGUAGGUGGAUUGUUAAGUCAGUGGUGAAAGUUUGCGGCUCAACCGUAAAAUUGCAGUUGAAACUGGCAGUCUUGAGUACAGUAGAGGUGGGCGGAAUUCGUGGUGUAGCGGUGAAAUGCUUAGAUAUCACGAAGAACUCCGAUUGCGAAGGCAGUUCACUGGACUGCAACUGACACUGAGGCUCGAAAGUGUGGGUAUCAAACAGGAUUAGAUACCCGAGUAGUC